Molecule: long non-coding RNA, 884 nt
Organism: Dioscorea cayenensis subsp. rotundata (Guinea yam)
Lineage: Eukaryota; Viridiplantae; Streptophyta; Magnoliopsida; Dioscoreales; Dioscoreaceae
Exons: 3
Source: RefSeq, a predicted model, not a curated record
CUCAUUAAACAAAACCUAUCCUCUCCUCCAUCUUCACCCCAAACCCUAACCCCAAGAUCUGGUUCCGGCUAUAGCCCUAACUCACCUUUUGCGAACUCUUCAUCACCCCCGGCGUCCUUGACUACGUCGCCCGAAACUCCUCGUCUACAAGGGCAUCGUCUGUGAAUUCGUAAGGCUUUUCUCUGGACCGGUUCCGGCAGGGAGAACCUCGAGUUUAACGUCCGCUGGACCCGCCAGAACCUUGCCAUCACCAAUAGUUUAGCAUCUGGAUCACCAGUAGUUUCUGUUCAUUCUAAGCCGCCUUUGGGCCCUUUGUGUACUAUGGCCAGGUAAUGUGGAUUGCUUAUGGAUGUUGAUUGAGAGAGUAUUUAGCCGUCGUACCAGAGUAGAACUUCAAUGAAAAGAUAACAUCUCCUAUGUUGUUUGUGGAUGCAGUCACCUUUGGGUUCUGCAGCUUCUGCUUGUAUUAUGAUUAGGGAUGAUGAAUUGGCAACUGAGGCAGCAUGGGUAGUUGUGUAUCUUUCAGUCCUUUCAGAAAAUGCUGUCCGUGUGAUGGUAAAAAGUAAUAUCAUUGAGCUUCUUGUUGGAAGAUUGACAGCCUCUGAGAGUUUGCCAUUGUUAAUUCCGGUAUAUACUAAUACCUACUAAAUUAUGUUAUAUGCUUGACUUCACAUGAGCUACUCACAGGAUUUAUGUAUUACCGUAAUGGUUGUGUCAUGAUUAUCCUGUAUUUCUUUUGUGUUAAUUUUUAGCUAGAAAUUUCUAGAUUUGGAUAUUACAGACUGUAGAAACUUACAAGCUUUGAGAAUUUUGUCAUUGUUAGCAGAUUACUUUUUUCCUUAUCAGAUGUUGUAGGACAGCAUGUGCCUCACAUUAAAUUUCAA